This 469-nucleotide ribosomal RNA is filed under the name uncultured bacterium. Its description in RNAcentral is "bacterial SSU rRNA". It matches the Rfam family "Bacterial small subunit ribosomal RNA", at positions 28 to 507 of the family's 1533-position model. The record is from RNAcentral.
GAUGAACGCUGGCGGCGUGCUUAACACAUGCAAGUCGAACGAAGAUGCCGGAGUGCUUGCACUUUGGCAGACUGAGUGGCGGACGGGUGAGUAACGCGUGGGUAACCUGCCUUAUACAGGGGGAUAACAGUUGGAAACGACUGCUAAUACCGCAUAAGCGCACGGUAUCGCAUGAUACAGUGUGAAAAACUCCGGUGGUAUAAGAUGGACCCGCGUCUGAUUAGCUUGUUGGUGAGGUAACGGCCCACCAAGGCGACGAUCAGUAGCCGGCCUGAGAGGGUGAACGGCCACAUUGGGACUGAGACACGGCCCAAACUCCUACGGGAGGCAGCAGUGGGGAAUAUUGCACAAUGGGGGAAACCCUGAUGCAGCGACGCCGCGUGAGCGAAGAAGUAUUUCGGUAUGUAAAGCUCUAUCAGCAGGGAAGAAAAUGACGGUACCUGACUAAGAAGCCCCGGCUAACUACGUG